Drosophila pseudoobscura is the source of this 2062-nucleotide RNA transcript. It is a transcript of the gene named mediator of RNA polymerase II transcription subunit 1, with no coding region annotated. Lineage: Eukaryota; Metazoa; Arthropoda; Insecta; Diptera; Drosophilidae. The record is from RefSeq and is a predicted model, not a curated record. The transcript has 5 exons.
GUAGGAUCUGAUAUUUACGUUAUAGUGUGCUUUGAUUUGAAAUUGGAAAAUGAGGUAGGAAUUUUUCGACACGAGAACUUUUAACAUCUUAGAGCACCUUGGAAGCAGAGGGUCUCCGAGCAGCAAUGGCCAGCAGUUCGGACGAUAGCAGCGACGAGAUCGAGGACGACUUAAACGAUGAAAACCGCCAGAUACUGAAAUCAAUUGACAGCCUUGAAGACCAAUACAAGACAUACAGGCCGAAGGACGCCGAAGAAAAUGAAAAUAGUGCAAAUAUAGGACCGAUCCAGUCUUGUCCGUAUUCAAACGCAUCGAAGGAACGUUCGGACAAAUCGAAGCGCACGAGUAGGCAUUUCCUAAAUUAUCGCAUAGCUUCGGGGCAAGGGCAGCAGCAGCAGAGCACCGUCAUGGCACAUCAGGGCUAUAGCUUCAGUGAAUAUCCCAUCUGCAGAAACAGCUCGUGUGCACAGAUCGAGAACGACUCCUACGUGUCGCAGAGCGAGAGCUGCUUCUGGGCCGGCGAGGCCGGAGGCAACAGCCGGCCACUGCCCGAAAGCGGCUCGCGAUCGGACGACACCAUUGUCAAUCGUCCGGGUGUGUGCGCCACAUCAGGCGGCGAGGAGCAGUCGGACAUCUCGGCCCAGUGCUCGUGCCUGGGCUCUUGCUGUUGCUGUCGAAUGCCGGAGCCGAUUGGCCCCGGACAGGAGCUGGCGUCGCCGGGUCCCAUGACCUUUGCGCCCUUUCCGUUCAUGCCCAUGGGCAUGCCCAUGUUCUGCCCAGGAAACGGCGGGCCUGCAGGUGGGAUGUACGCCAUGUCAGCCUCAGCGAAUGGGAUGUACGCCAUGCCUGCCUCAGCGAAUGGGAUGUAUGCCAUGACAGCAGCAGCAGCAGCACCGGCAGCAGCCAUGGGCAUGGAUCAGGACGCAGUGGCAGGACGUGGUGCGGCGGGCCAGGCGCCAAGCAAUUCCGAGGUCAACAGCAGCUACAACAACGCUGGACCCUCGCCGAGUGGCUACUCGGGCAUGUCGGGCAAUGCUGCUCAGCCUUCAGCCCCGAUGGGCAGCUAUCCGGUAAUGCCCGGGGCCUACCAUCCGUCCAUGGCUGGGCCCGGCGCAGACCAGAACUCGCAGGGCCCUGAUGCUGCUGCCGCCUACGAUUAUGUGCAAAAGUAUAACCAAAGUAUUCAGCAGUUUUUGGCCACGGCCGAGCAGAACGCUCAGCAGUCCUUGGCCCAGGCCCAGGCCCAGGCCCAGCAUGCCAAUCCACAGGUGUUCAACAAUCUCCAGCCAGGUAUGCCGCCAGGCCUUGCCCCCGCAGGCGCUAUGGGAGCUCAGCCAUAUUAUCCGGGCCUUCAGGAGGGCUUCGCCAAUAGCUCGAUGGGCCCUCCACAAUACUUCCCCAAUGCCAUGUCGAUGGGGAUGCCGUCCAUGCAGCCCACAGCCCUCUAUGGCAUGAAUUCAGCCAGCAGCAGCAGCAGCAGCAGUAGCAGCAGCAGCAGUGCCUACUACGGCUCGCAAGGGCUCUCUGCGGGCGGCGCCUUCAACGAUUCUCUGCAGACCCAAACGGUGUACUCCACGGACUAUAAGCCCUUUGCGGCACAGGGCAAUAAUUUCAAUCACUUUCCCAACGGCAUAGACAUUGGCUUGCCAGCCGAUUCCUGUCCGGCCUACGGCUCCGUGGGCCCUGUACCGGGACCUGGUGCCGGUGUCCCGCCUGAGAUGUGCAGCCAGCUCUAUGGCAUGGGCAUGGGCAUGGGCAUGGAUGUGGGCAACAGCUCAGCCUAUCCCCUCAGUCAAAUGAGCUAUGCGAGCUAUCCCUGCGAGAUGCCAAUGCCGGGGGCACCGUCUGCCGGUGGCUAUCUUCCCUCGUUCAAUAUGUCUGGCAAAUCAAUCUAGAUUGGAAGAAACCUCUUAAUUCUCACCGAAAAACUCUCUAAAAUGCCAUCGGGGUCACCAAAAGCCACUCAAAGCCACACACCAAAUAUUUCUCUAACUAAAUUCAAUUCAAAAUCAAUGUAAAUCGAAAUUAUCUGCUCAAAAAUACAAAAUAGGCAAAUAGAAAA